This 253-nucleotide ribosomal RNA is filed under the name uncultured bacterium. RNAcentral describes it as "partial 16S ribosomal RNA". It matches the Rfam family "Bacterial small subunit ribosomal RNA", at positions 524 to 776 of the family's 1533-position model. The record is from RNAcentral.
UACGGGGGGGGCAAGCGUUGUUCGGAAUUACUGGGCGUAAAGGGCUCGUAGGCGGCCCGCUAAGUCGAACGUGAAAUCCCCGAGCUCAACUCGGGAACUGCGUCCGAUACUGGUGGGCUUGAAUCCGGGAGAGGGAUGCGGAAUUCCAGGUGUAGCGGUGAAAUGCGUAGAUAUCUGGAGGAACACCGGUGGCGAAGGCGGCAUCCUGGACCGGCAUUGACGCUGAGGCGCGAAAGCUAGGGGAGCAAACGGG